This 377-nucleotide long non-coding RNA is filed under the name Monodelphis domestica (gray short-tailed opossum). RNAcentral describes it as "lncRNA (ENSMODG00000044632.1)". Lineage: Eukaryota; Metazoa; Chordata; Mammalia; Didelphimorphia; Didelphidae. The record is from RNAcentral.
GUUGGUGAUGGAAUACUAUUGUGCUCAAGGGAAUAAUAAAGUGGAGGAAUUCCACGGAGACUGGAACAACCUCCAGGAAGUGAUGCAGAGCAAAAGGAGCAGAAAUGGGAAAACAUUGUCCCAUCUGGGUCGCCAUCUUGAACUCUCUCUUCAAAGUUCUUUUCAACUUUCCCUUACGGUACUUGUUGACUACUUGGGCCCCCACCGAGAGCGGCACCCCAUUACGGAGGGAAUCCUGGUUAGUUUCUUUUCCUUCGCUGACUAAUAUGCUUAAAUUCAGCGGGUCGCCACGUCUGAUCUGAGGUCACAUCUCAAAAGUAAUGGACUCCUCCACUAGGGCCAAUGCAAUGUCCCUGAACAAUCUGCAGGGAUCUAAA